Long non-coding RNA from Conger conger (European conger), 388 nucleotides. RefSeq lists it as uncharacterized. NCBI's taxonomy places the organism in Eukaryota, Metazoa, Chordata, Actinopteri, Anguilliformes, Congridae. The transcript has 3 exons. The record is from RefSeq and is a predicted model, not a curated record.
UCCAGGCACAGAGGAACAAGCAGCACGGGGCCCCAGCAGGACUGGGGUUGGAGGUCAUCGAGACCAAAUCCAGCCAGCCAGUGCCCAAGCCGCGGGGCAGCGUGAGGAAGUCAGCGGUGGACCCCAUGGAGCUGGAGACGGACGCUCAGUCCCAGAGCAGCGCCACCUGGCUGGUGGACCCCAAGGACUCCAAACGCACCAUCAGCACCAACUGACUGCUGUGUUGAAGUGUCCGGACUGUGGCUGUGAGUCGGGGACUGAGGGCUGGUACCCUGUGUUGGGGGAGCUGUAUACUGUUCCCACAGUAUAUGGUUUUUCAUUGGGGUGGGGGAGGUGCGUGCUUAAUGCUUGUGGGGAUCGGUACUGUAAUGUCCCCCCACACACACAC